GAACGAUGAACACCGGAGCUUGCUCUGGUGGGAUUAGUGGCGAACGGGUGAGUAACACGUGAGCAAUCUGCCCCCGACUCUGGGAUAACCCCGAGAAAUCGGAGCUAAUACCGGAUACGACACCUCCUGGCAUCAGGUGGGUGUGGAAAGAAUUUCGGUUGGGGAUGAGCUCGCGGCCUAUCAGCUUGUUGGUGAGGUAAUGGCUCACCAAGGCGACGACGGGUAGCCGGCCUGAGAGGGUGACCGGCCACACUGGGACUGAGACACGGCCCAGACUCCUACGGGAGGCAGCAGUGGGGAAUAUUGCACAAUGGGCGCAAGCCUGAUGCAGCAACGCCGCGUGGGGGACGACGGCCUUCGGGUUGUAAACCUCUUUUGGCAGGGAAGAAGCGAAAGUGACGGUACCUGCAGAAAAAGCACCGGCUAACUACGUGCCAGCAGCCGCGGUAAUACGUAGGGUGCAAGCGUUGUCCGGAAUUAUUGGGCGUAAAGAGCUCGUAGGCGGUGUGUCACGUCUGCUGUGAAAAUCCAAGGCUCAACCUUGGACUUGCAGUGGGUACGGGCACACUCGAGUGCGGUAGGGGAGAUUGGAAUUCCUGGUGUAGCGGUGGAAUGCGCAGAUAUCAGGAGGAACACCGAUGGCGAAGGCAGAUCUCUGGGCCGUAACUGACGCUGAGGAGCGAAAGCGUGGGGAGCGAACAGGAUUAGAUACCCUGGUAGUCCACGCCGUAAACGGUGGGAACUAGAUGUGGGGUCCGUUCCACGGAUUCCGUGUCGCAGUUAACGCAUUAAGUUCCCCGCCUGGGGAGUACGGCCGCAAGGCUAAAACUCAAAGGAAUUGACGGGGGCCCGCACAAGCGGCGGAGCAUGCGGAUUAAUUCGAUGCACGCGAAGAACCUUACCAAGGCUUGACAUAUAGAGGAAAAGUGCAGAGAUGCACUCCCCCGCAAGGUCUCUAUACAGGUGGUGCAUGGUGUCGUCAGCUCGUGUCGUGAGAUGUGGGUUAAGUCCGCAACGAGCGGCAACCCUCGUUCUUAUGUUGUCCAGCACGCUUUA
This 1056-nucleotide ribosomal RNA is filed under the name uncultured bacterium. RNAcentral's name for it is "bacterial SSU rRNA". It matches the Rfam family "Bacterial small subunit ribosomal RNA", at positions 64 to 1130 of the family's 1533-position model. The record is from RNAcentral.